UACAGGGGGUGCAAGCGUUACUCGGAAUCACUGGGCGUAAAGAGCGCGUAGGCUGUCUAAUAAGUCUGAUGUGAAAGCCCUGAACUCAAUUCAGGAAGCGCAUCGGAUACUGUUAGGCUAGAGUGUCGGAGGGGUGAGCGGAAUUCCAGGUGUAGAGGUGAAAUUCGUAGAUAUCUGGAGGAACAACAGUGGCGAAGGCGGCUCACUGGACGACUACUGACGCUGAGGCGCGAAAGCAUGGGGAGCAAACAGG
RNAcentral lists this ribosomal RNA (253 nucleotides) under uncultured bacterium. Its description in RNAcentral is "partial 16S ribosomal RNA". It matches the Rfam family "Bacterial small subunit ribosomal RNA", at positions 524 to 776 of the family's 1533-position model. The record is from RNAcentral.